GAGGGGUAACUCGGCUCGGCUCCAUCCCAUCCCCCCAGUUGCCAAAGCUUCUACCACAGUCCUUCCCUCCACCAGAAAAAAAUCCAGCACGAAACUCUAGCCCGACCCAAAGCACUCGGCAUCAAAGGAGGAACUGAGGCGGAGGGAGGCUCUCCCCGCAUUGGGCUCCAGCUGAAAGGGGCUCCGGUCCAGCUCCGGGGGCAGACGGCUCCCCCUCACCACCACAUCUUGUUCUCAUUUUGCACCCCUGACAUCAGCCGCCGCCGGAAUCUCCUUGUUGUGCCUCCAGCCCGCGGGGUGGGGGUGGGUGGGAGGGUGAAGACCUGGUCUCCACCCCCCCCCAUCUCCUUCUGGGUCAGUAAAGACCUCAGCCCCAGAACCAGGUGGUGGGGAUCACACCCUAGAAUCCGCCGCAAACUUUGGGGCGGGGGCAGGAGGAAAACCCAGGAGAUUGCGGUCUCCCCUCCUCCGUCCCCGCAGCUUCCUCCCUACCCCAGCCCCCAAACUCGGAAACCAAACCCAGCUCGCUAACCCGCGGCGGGUGGAGGACGGCGUCCGGGUUCCCGAAGCUCCCCACAUCUGGAGGAUGACGACCCUCCGGUGCCCACAUCUGGACAGCAUCCAGCUGCAAACCAGAGGGGCUCUAGGUACCCCGUCCCCCGUCUCAGACCCCCCAUCCCGGCCGGGGCACCCCGAAGGAUAUGGGUUACAGACCGUGCGGAGGCACCAACUCCGCGGGCGGCUGUCCUGGCUCAAGUAGAAGAAAACCACGGGGGCCAGUGCGGGGUACGGCAGCCCCUCGGCCUCGGAGUCCGCGCUGCCCGGGUCCUUCUCCGCCGACCCCGGCCCCGGCCGGCCCCCGGCCCCGGACAGGUCGUUGAGCCGCAGGGCGCUCUGGGGCUGUCCUGACUCCUCGGUGCCCGCGCCAUCCUCCUCGUCCAUCCUCGGCCGGCCGGGGCCCGGGAGUUCGGAGAGGGGCAAGGGCGCCCCUCGGAGGAGGGGUCCUCACGCAGACGGGGGACCCCGGCGGGGGCGCAUCGGGGGAGCCCUAGGGCGCAGGCUGAGCCCCCGGCAGGGCCAGUUCAGCCCCGCUCGCAUGCUGCCCGCGGGGCGCCGGCUCCAGGGCAGCCCCCCGGCGAGCAACCCACUUCCCGGGAUCCCCGGGCACCCCGGGCCAGCCAGCCAGGUCCCCCUCACUUUGUCCGGUUUCUUCGCUUGGCGCCCAGGCUCCUGUGCCCGGAUCCGCGCUCUCUUCGGCGAAGCGGCCCCGAGAUAGGGAGAAGGAAAGGGGGGUGCCCAGCAGAGGAGAACGGGGGUCCGCGGAGGGCGCCCCCUCUUCCCGCGGCACAGCUGGAGCUGGAUCUAAGGGGUCAGCAUCGUCCCAGCCCCGCACCAGCGGCGGCGGGGGAGGGGAGGAGCGGCUCCCGGCGAGUGGGUUUGGGGGGGUGGGGGGCGGCUCCUUCCUCCGCCCCGCGGCGGGCGCACCGCCCGAGGGGGUGGGCGGGGAGACCGUGGGGGGCCGUCCCGGGCGGGGGUGGAGGCGGAGAUGCCACCGCCGCCGCCGCCGUCGCCCUCGCCGCCGCCGCCGCGGUGGCCGCCGAUGCCGUAGCUGUCGCCGGCGCUACUGCCUCCUCCUCCGGCCGAGACGCGGAGAGAGCGAGCGAAAGCGGCGGCGAGGAGCCCGGCGCGCGCCACAGCUGGAUCGCUCACUCCAACUUCAAGCCUUGGCCCCGCCCCUCCCCGGCCGCGCUCACAACCAAUCGCCGCUCGCCGCCGGGCCCGAGCCGCAAGCCCAUUGGUCGGCCGCCGCGGCAGUGCGGGCGGGGCUGCGGGGCGGGGGGGAGAACACAGCUGGAAUCCGGUUCCCACCCCAAAUCUCGGAACCGCCCCUCUCCCCGCCCCUUGGCCCUAGGUCCGCUCCCGAAGGCUGGAGCCAAUGAGAUGGCUUCCCAGGCCGAACCCACUUUUCGAUUGGCCGCUGGGGUCUUUGGGACGCCCCCCGAGGGAGCCCCAGAGAAUCAGAGUGUUCAGCGCCUAGUCCUGGGGUAGCACUUCAAGUCCUGGGCAUCCUUUGUUCAGGACCCCGAAUUGGACAGCAGCCAGAGGGCGGAGCUCAGCUCUGGUCAGGUCUGAGAAGACGAGACAGUGAGUACGGGGACUAGGGGGGCGACUGGGUUUCCAGAGCCAAAGUCCUGGUCUCCACCCAGUUCAUCGCCUACGGAGUCGCGGGACCCGGGAGCGGGGCUGGGUAGGAGGUGAGCAGAGAGGAUGUCUCGGGGGCGGGGCCUCGGCUGGGGGCGGAGCUCAGGGGAGGGGCGUAGCCAGGGAAAGGCCGAGGUAGGCCAGGUCUGCACUUGGCCUCCACCAGCUUCCUCGGGUUAUUGGAUCCUGCCGCCCUGACCCACGUCAAGAUUGACCCUGACAUCCUAACUUAGCGUACAGGCCCUAAGAUCCAGCCUGUGCCCUUAGAAAGGCUGAAGGGUAUAGACUCCACUCUCGGGGCUUGUGCUUGAACUCGUAGCCCAGCCAGGUCACCCUGAACUGCAGAGCCUGAGUUCCAGCGAAGGGACCUGGCUCGAGUGUUUGGGAGGAGGUAGCAGCACCCACUGGGCUUUAUCAACUCCUGCAGAGAGCGCUGACCUGCCUCUCACCCUGUGCCUCAGUUUCUCCCACUGGAGUCUCCGUUUGGCUUAGGGAAAGGUUGACCACAGGACAGUAGCUUUGCGGAGUUCCCUCCUCGCCUUCCCGUGCGCGCACAUCCUCACCCAGACCUCAGCCUCGCCCCGCCUCUCCAUACCCAGUUCUAGGGCGCAGGCAGCUCUAGUUCCCUCCCGCCACCUGCGUCACCCCUCAAACUGGAUACCGUAGAACCGGGUCCACGAGGAUAACUGGACACGGGGAAGGAGCAGGGCACAGAGGAUUAGAGCCCAACCUCGGCGGGAGAGGCCGAUGGUGGGCCGCUGACCCCCAGCUCCCCGGCUUCCUUCCAGCUGCCCGAGCCGCGCGGCCCACGCAGCCCUGCGGGCCCUCCACGGCGGCGUGGGUGGGGGCCGCCUCAACCUCCUCCUGGCCGGUGGCGCAGAGCGGCGGCUGCAGCGCCUUAGCUUCCCCGGUUGCCCUUUCGCCGAAUCCGGGCACCGAGUUGUGCAAAUGAGGCCGGGCUCAUUUGCAUCUCAUGCUAAUGAGCAGCUCUCUUAAGUGCCCGCGUCUCAGGCUGGAGUCUCUGCUCCGUUCUCAGUGAGCGCGCGGGGCCCAGCAGUCUUGAACCUGGAGCCACCUUCUGGGAAAGGGGGCUAUUUAUGGUUCUCUCCGUGCGUCUGACACCUUCCUGCCUCCCGCAGGUCAGCAGUCUGGCGGGGCUGUCCUGCCUUUCUGCCCAGGGUCCAGAGCCCCAGAGCGGCUGGCACAGGAAGCCUUUGCAGAGGGGAAAUGAAAUGAGGCCAGGCUUGCUGGGUCGGGCGUUCGGCAGGCCCUAGCUCCCUCAAGCAUCUUCCAGGCCACCCUGUCCCUGGGCUGCCCCCACCCCCGAGGGAGAGGGACCAAGCUCAGGUGCACUGAGGACUGCUUUCCUGGUUUAGUGGCCUGGGGGUGGCCUGUACCUGGGCACGAGGGGACUAUGACAUCCUGAAAGUGUACUCAGCUUUUGGGGUGAUGCUGACGGCCAGAAGGCUGCCAAGCAAGACCAGACUCCAUCUUGAAGUCCUGGGGUCCCGGCUCCAAGUGCCCCCUACUCGGCCUGGCUUUCCUUCCAGCCAGUAUUUCCGUGUCUGUUAAUCACCAGGGUGCUGCGGGUGCAGUACCCAGACAGAAGUCUCCAUCCUGGGCAAGCGGAAGUGAGGAGAAUUCAGAUGUGUCAUAUACCAGUGCCAGCUCCCCACGAUGAAUAUAAUCAUUGCACUGCAAAUGGGUAGCAAUAAAAAUGUUUUUAAUGUUUUAAGUCUACAUCCUCCCAGUACUUAGCCGAGGCUGGAACCAUACGUUUAUGCUGGCGGUAAAGAAAUCUCUGUCUCCCUCUCCAGGCCAUUUGUACCCUGAGGCAAGGACAGUGCCCAUUUUACUCACCAGGUCCUAGUGUUUGGCACAAAGUAGGUGCUUAGUAAAUUUUUGUUCACCUCAGGUAGCGAAAAGAAGGAGUGAGACAGAAAAAAGUUCCCUUUUUUGAGCCUGUUUUCCCAGGAAGAAGUCAGGUCUGUGUGUUGUCUGAGGUCUUCUCUGAGUUUGAGGGGAACCCCUAUAUGUGUUGCUUGCCAGCCUCCAGCAGCCCCCUGAAGCCCCCUGGUUUUUACCCCUACCCUGCACCCCAUGGCUCCAGGAGGCUGAAUCUUCCAUCAGUGACACUCUUUGCUCAGGGAUCACACAAACAGUUCCCUCUUUGGUCACCUUGACAGACCUGGACAGAGGCCACACACACCAGGAGACUUUCAGAUGUUCACUGAAUGUAUACCUCAGGUGCAAGCCUGAUUCCCAAAGGGAAAGAGACAUGGGGAAGCAGCUAAGUGGAGAGCCUUCCAGAAUUCAUCGAGCAACUGUUGAGCAUCCACCAUGUGCCAGGACUGCCCUGGAGGUUGGGGACAUAGCAGUGACAGAAGAAUCUUCCUUUGAGUGCUAAAAUCCCGACAGGCAUGAAGAAAGUGGUGAAGGGAAACACUGCCCACGGGAAGAGGCCUCAGCCAGGGCGGUCUCACCAUUCCAAGCAGCCAGCAUCUUGCUGUCCAGGUGCGGCUUCGGCCGCUGCUUCCGGGCCUGGAGGAGUUUGUCCACUCCUGCUGUGAGCAGGCUCCGCACAGCCUCCACCUCCAGGCCGAAGCGGGCAGCGGUCAGCUCCAGUGAGUAACGGACAGUCAGCACGUUCUGGCCAUGCAGUUCCCCCUUGGAGUCCUGGGGAUCACAGCUCUCGUCCGAGGAGCCCACGUAUGCCUGGUGGCCCGCAGUCCCCUCCAGGAAGCCCCAGAGUCCCGCACCUGACAGGUGUUGAUGUUGCCCGUCUCUGUGAGCCCGUAGUGCUUGAUGAGGAGCUGGCCUGCGGUCAGCGGCUCUGUGGCGCCUGGCACAGCCUCUGGGAGGAGACGCUGGACCUCCUUGACUGUCCACACAUAGAAUGCGCCCUCCUUGGGCCGCAUGCCCCGCUCUGGGGGCGAAUCUGCAUCCUCAGCGCUGUAGAAGCCACCAGACUGCGGGAGGGACAGUCAUCAGGCCCUGUCACAGGCAGGGAAGGCCUGGGCCCUCCCGCAGCCAGGGCCGCCUGCCUCAGUGGACAUACCCGGUGGCUCAGACUCCGGCUAACAUACUGCAGGAUGCCUUUGGCAACAUCAGAGUAGAAUUCAUCUCCGGAGAUCUGGGUUUGGGGAAGGAGGCUGUGAACGGAGGCCACGGAGUGGCCCAGAUUCGUGGGUGUGAGGUUGUCCCGGGAAGGUGGAGGGGUCUGGGGUGGGGAGUGGCGUAUGGGAGGGGUUGGGAGGCCAGGGAGGCCAGGCUGGGCUAGGGCGUGACCUGGAAGGCCUGGGAGUAGGACACAGCAAGCUGCCCCUGGUCGUAGAGCAUCUUCUCGAAGUGGGGGACUUGCCACUGGCGGUCGGUGGAGUAGCGGUGAAAGCCCUGCGGCAGGCGGACCCGGGCUGGAGGUGGAUCCCGGCCUCCUUCCCCACCCCACGCCUCCACCGCACCCCAACUCCACCGCCCCCCUCACCUGUCCCACAUGGUCCCGGAUGCCCCCGUUGGCCAUCAUUUUCAGGGUGUGUAAGGCCAUCUGCUGGGCCCGAGAGCCAUCCUGGGCCAUGCGGUGGCCAAGCCAGUAGGAGAACAGGAAGCUCAGGAUCACUGCCAACAACGUGAGGGGAGGAUGAGGAGAGGCGGGGCUCGGGUUUACCCAACACACGGCCCCUGGCCAGGCUGUGGUCAGGAGGCCAACAGUCAGCCCAGAGGUCCUAAGGUCACCACCCUAGCCAGGCGGUGAACACCGUCAGAGCUGCACACAGUGGUGUACUCCCGUAACUCCAGCACUCUGGGAGGCUGAGGCAGGAGGGUCCAAAGUUUGAACACAGUCUGGACAAUUUAGCAAUUUAGUAAAACCCUGUCUCAAAAAUAAAAAGGGCUGGGGGUAGAA
This is an RNA transcript of Cavia porcellus (domestic guinea pig), 6103 nucleotides long. It is a transcript of the gene named serine/arginine repetitive matrix protein 3-like, with no coding region annotated. The record is from RefSeq and is a predicted model, not a curated record. The transcript is spliced from 5 exons. Lineage: Eukaryota; Metazoa; Chordata; Mammalia; Rodentia; Caviidae.